Molecule: ribosomal RNA, 301 nt
Filed under: uncultured bacterium
Lineage: Bacteria
Description: partial 16S ribosomal RNA
Rfam family: Bacterial small subunit ribosomal RNA
Source: RNAcentral
CAGCCGCCGCGGUAAUACGGAGGGUGCAAGCGUUAUCCGGAUUCACUGGGUUUAAAGGGUGCGUAGGCGGAUCUGUAAGUCAGUGGUGAAAUCUCCAGGCUUAACCUGGAAACUGCCGUUGAUACUAUAGGUCUUGAAUUUUGUGGAGGUUAGCGGAAUAUGUCAUGUAGCGGUGAAAUGCAUAGAUAUGACAUAGAACACCAAUUGCGAAGGCCGCUGGCUACACAACUAUUGACGCUGAGGCACGAAAGCGUGGGGAUCAAACAGGAUUAGAUACCCCCGUAGUCCCUGUCUCUUAUAC